This 292-nucleotide ribosomal RNA is filed under the name uncultured bacterium. Its description in RNAcentral is "partial 16S ribosomal RNA". The record is from RNAcentral.
GGACUACUGGGGUAUCUAAUCCCGGUCGCUCCCCUGGCUUUCGCGCCUGAGCGUCAAGGGCGGGCCAGCAGAUCGCUUUCGCCACUGGUGUUCCUUCCGGUAUCUACGCAUUUUACCGCUACACCGGAAAUUCCAUCUGCCUCUCCCGCCUUCAAGUCCCGAAGUUUCGAACGGCCUCUCCCAGUUGAGCCACGAGCUUUCACAUUCGACUUUCAGGACCGCCUGCGCGCGCUUUACGCCCAGUAAAUCCGGACAACGCUCGCAACCUACGUAUUACCGCGGCUGCUGGCAC